AGUGAACGCUGGCGGUAGGCCUAACACAUGCAAGUCGAACGGCAGCACAGUAAGCGCUUGCUCUUACGGGUGGCGAGUGGCGGACGGGUGAGGAAUACAUCGGAAUCUACUUUUUCGUGGGGGAUAACGUAGGGAAACUUACGCUAAUACCGCAUACGACCUACGGGUGAAAGCAGGGGAUCUUCAGACCUUGCGCGAUUGAAUGAGCCGAUGUCGGAUUAGCUAGUUGGCGGGGUAAAGGCCCACCAAGGCGACGAUCCGUAGCUGGUCUGAGAGGAUGAUCAGCCACACUGGAACUGAGACACGGUCCAGACUCCUACGGGAGGCAGCAGUGGGGAAUAUUGGACAAUGGGCGCAAGCCUGAUCCAGCCAUACCGCGUGGGUGAAGAAGGCCUUCGGGUUGUAAAGCCCUUUUGUUGGGAAAGAAAAGCAGCAGGUUAAUACCCCGCUGUUCUGACGGUACCCAAAGAAUAAGCACCGGCUAACUUCGUG
Molecule: ribosomal RNA, 492 nt
Filed under: uncultured bacterium
Lineage: Bacteria
Description: partial 16S ribosomal RNA
Rfam family: Bacterial small subunit ribosomal RNA
Source: RNAcentral